Molecule: transfer RNA, 63 nt
Filed under: Cryphalus abietis
Lineage: Eukaryota; Metazoa; Arthropoda; Insecta; Coleoptera; Curculionidae
Also listed under: 1 other name
Description: tRNA-Gly
Source: RNAcentral
AUUUAUAUAGUAUAAACAUUAUAAUUGACUUCCAAUCAAUUGAUCUAACUCCUAGUAUAAAUA